Molecule: ribosomal RNA, 274 nt
Filed under: uncultured bacterium
Lineage: Bacteria
Description: partial 16S ribosomal RNA
Rfam family: Bacterial small subunit ribosomal RNA
Source: RNAcentral
AUACGGAGGGGGUUAGCGUUGUUCGGAAUUACUGGGCGUAAAGCGCACGUAGGCGGACUGGAAAGUUGGGGGUGAAAUCCCGGGGCUCAACCCCGGAACUGCCUCCAAAACUUCCAAUCUAGAGAUCGAGAGAGGUAAGUGGAAUUCCUAGUGUAGAGGUGAAAUUCGUAGAUAUUAGGAGGAACACCAGUGGCGAAGGCGGCUUACUGGCUCGAUACUGACGCUGAGGUGCGAAAGCGUGGGGAGCGAACAGGAUUAGAAACCCUAGUAGUCC